Hydra vulgaris (swiftwater hydra) is the source of this 289-nucleotide long non-coding RNA. RefSeq lists it as uncharacterized. The record is from RefSeq and is a predicted model, not a curated record. NCBI's taxonomy places the organism in Eukaryota, Metazoa, Cnidaria, Hydrozoa, Anthoathecata, Hydridae.
AAUGAUAAUAAUAAUGUUCAAUGCAGGUUGUUGACCAAUGGUUUAUAAUCAAAAUUUAAUAUGGCUGGCGGUAAGAAUUAUGAGAAGUUUGAAGGAACAAACAUUUGUAAGGUUGUUACUGCUUCAUGUCAAUUAAAGCGACUGCUACAGCUGCCGAAAUAGGCAAAACGAAUAAUGACUUUAUUAAAAUAUGCACUCGACAGAUCGAAUAGUGGUGGUUGGUACAAAACAACAUUCAUACGUUUUCCUAAUUGUUCUGGAACUAUUGUUAAAUAAAACUUUUUUUUUU